Molecule: ribosomal RNA, 1479 nt
Filed under: Alcaligenes faecalis
Lineage: Bacteria; Pseudomonadati; Pseudomonadota; Betaproteobacteria; Burkholderiales; Alcaligenaceae
Description: bacterial SSU rRNA
Rfam family: Bacterial small subunit ribosomal RNA
Source: RNAcentral
AACCUGGCUCAGAUUGAACGCUAGCGGGAUGCUUUACACAUGCAAGUCGAACGGCAGCGCGAGAGAGCUUGCUCUCUUGGCGGCGAGUGGCGGACGGGUGAGUAAUAUAUCGGAACGUGCCCAGUAGCGGGGGAUAACUACUCGAAAGAGUGGCUAAUACCGCAUACGCCCUACGGGGGAAAGGGGGGGAUCGCAAGACCUCUCACUAUUGGAGCGGCCGAUAUCGGAUUAGCUAGUUGGUGGGGUAAAGGCUCACCAAGGCAACGAUCCGUAGCUGGUUUGAGAGGACGACCAGCCACACUGGGACUGAGACACGGCCCAGACUCCUACGGGAGGCAGCAGUGGGGAAUUUUGGACAAUGGGGGAAACCCUGAUCCAGCCAUCCCGCGUGUAUGAUGAAGGCCUUCGGGUUGUAAAGUACUUUUGGCAGAGAAGAAAAGGUAUCCCCUAAUACGGGAUGCUGCUGACGGUAUCUGCAGAAUAAGCACCGGCUAACUACGUGCCAGCAGCCGCGGUAAUACGUAGGGUGCAAGCGUUAAUCGGAAUUACUGGGCGUAAAGCGUGUGUAGGCGGUUCGGAAAGAAAGAUGUGAAAUCCCAGGGCUCAACCUUGGAACUGCAUUUUUAACUGCCGAGCUAGAGUAUGUCAGAGGGGGGUAGAAUUCCACGUGUAGCAGUGAAAUGCGUAGAUAUGUGGAGGAAUACCGAUGGCGAAGGCAGCCCCCUGGGAUAAUACUGACGCUCAGACACGAAAGCGUGGGGAGCAAACAGGAUUAGAUACCCUGGUAGUCCACGCCCUAAACGAUGUCAACUAGCUGUUGGGGCCGUUAGGCCUUAGUAGCGCAGCUAACGCGUGAAGUUGACCGCCUGGGGAGUACGGUCGCAAGAUUAAAACUCAAAGGAAUUGACGGGGACCCGCACAAGCGGUGGAUGAUGUGGAUUAAUUCGAUGCAACGCGAAAAACCUUACCUACCCUUGACAUGUCUGGAAAGCCGAAGAGAUUUGGCCGUGCUCGCAAGAGAACCGGAACACAGGUGCUGCAUGGCUGUCGUCAGCUCGUGUCGUGAGAUGUUGGGUUAAGUCCCGCAACGAGCGCAACCCUUGUCAUUAGUUGCUACGCAAGAGCACUCUAAUGAGACUGCCGGUGACAAACCGGAGGAAGGUGGGGAUGACGUCAAGUCCUCAUGGCCCUUAUGGGUAGGGCUUCACACGUCAUACAAUGGUCGGGACAGAGGGUCGCCAACCCGCGAGGGGGAGCCAAUCUCAGAAACCCGAUCGUAGUCCGGAUCGCAGUCUGCAACUCGACUGCGUGAAGUCGGAAUCGCUAGUAAUCGCGGAUCAGAAUGUCACGGUGAAUACGUUCCCGGGUCUUGUACACACCGCCCGUCACACCAUGGGAGUGGGUUUCACCAGAAGUAGGUAGCCUAACCGCAAGGAGGGCGCUUACCACGGUGGGAUUCAUGACUGGGGUGAAGUCGUA